UGGUUGCUGGGAAUUGAACUCAUA
This 24-nucleotide non-coding RNA is filed under the name Cricetulus griseus (Chinese hamster). Lineage: Eukaryota; Metazoa; Chordata; Mammalia; Rodentia; Cricetidae. The record is from RNAcentral.